GGUUGAUCCAAAGGUAGUGAGUUAUCUCCAUUCACAGUCAAUUACAGAUCAAACUCCUUGUUCUACUCUUUCCUCCCUUUUCACUACUGCACUUAACUAGUCAUUU
Molecule: Y RNA, 106 nt
Organism: Callithrix jacchus (white-tufted-ear marmoset)
Lineage: Eukaryota; Metazoa; Chordata; Mammalia; Primates; Cebidae
Rfam family: Y RNA
About the family: Y RNAs are components of the Ro ribonucleoprotein particle (Ro RNP), in association with Ro60 and La proteins. The Y RNAs and Ro60 and La proteins are well conserved, but the function of the Ro RNP is not known.
Source: Ensembl